UGGGAGCGAUGGGCUAGGGACGGGAGAGAAUGAAGGAUUCUGGGUCGUGUAGUUCGUUGGCUCUUCUGCUCGGCGACAGUGCAGCGGCCUCCGGGGGAAACGAGGACUAAAGCCCCAAGCAGGCGGGGAGGCCUGCCCUUCUUGUUUCCCAGAUCCCAGGACCUGAUCCUACCUUCUGGACAAGUCCUUCUGCAUCUCCUGCACCAGGUGGUCCCUGGCCUUGUUUCUUUUCCUCUGGAGAUUCUGGACCACGUGGCUGACCAUCAGUGCCCUCCUGGAUGCAUGCCUCACCUCCCGGUGGCUCUGAAAAGCAAUGAAACAGCCCAUUCCUUUUCUGUCCUGAGAGGACGACCGUGGUAGCCGGCACCUGGGCAUUUGGCCCUAGUGGUCCUCCUCCUGAACGGAAGGGCACACAACCACAGUGAGGUCUACGCCAUUGAACCUGUUGGUUCCCACUCUGUUCUGAUAGGGAUCC
This is a non-coding RNA of Chrysemys picta bellii (western painted turtle), 475 nucleotides long. Lineage: Eukaryota; Metazoa; Chordata; Testudines; Emydidae. The record is from RefSeq and is a predicted model, not a curated record.